Molecule: ribosomal RNA, 207 nt
Filed under: uncultured bacterium
Lineage: Bacteria
Description: partial 16S ribosomal RNA
Rfam family: Bacterial small subunit ribosomal RNA
Source: RNAcentral
CGUGUAGGCGGCUUAUUAAGUCAGAUGUGAAAGCCCACGGCUUAACCGUGGAACUGCAUUUGAAACUGAUAGACUUGAGUAUGAGAAGGGGUAGUGGAAUUCCCAGUGUAGCGGUGAAAUGCGUAGAUAUUGGGAAGAACACCAGUAGCGAAGGCGACUACCUGGCUCAUUACUGACGCUAAUGCGCGAAAGCGCGGGGAGCAAACA